This 376-nucleotide unclassified non-coding RNA is filed under the name soil metagenome. RNAcentral's name for it is "partial contains 5.8S ribosomal RNA, internal transcribed spacer 2, and large subunit ribosomal RNA". The stretch from base 1 to 120 matches the Rfam family "5.8S ribosomal RNA", at positions 35 to 154 of the family's 154-position model. The record is from RNAcentral.
GAUGAAGAACGUAGCGAAAUGCGAUAAUUAAUGUGAAUUGCAGAAUUCAGUGAAUCAUCGAAUCUUUGAACGCACAUUGCGCCCUCCGGUAUUCCGGGGGGCAUGCCUGUCCGAGCGUCAUUACAGCCAUCAAGCGCGGCUUGUGUGUUGGGCGCCUGCCCCCUGGGGCACGCCCGAAAUUUAGGGAUCGUCUAGGUAAAGGACCCCCAGCGCAUGGGCACAUCACCCGCUGAAGGAGUUCUCGCCCCGGCUAUCGACCCCCGCGGCUUCAACUAAAUUUUAGUUAAGCCCCAGCCCAACUUUUUUGGGCAUUCUCGGUGGACCUCGGAUCAGGUAGGGAUACCCGCUGAACUUAAGCAUAUCAAUAAGCGGAGGA